AUUGAACGCUGGCGGCAGGCCUAACACAUGCAAGUCGAACGAGUGGCGGACGGGUGAGUAAUGUCUGGGAAACUGCCUGAUGGAGGGGGAUAACUACUGGAAACGGUAGCUAAUACCGCAUACCAUCAGAUGUGCCCAGAUGGGAUUAGCUAGUAGGUGGGGUAAUGGCUCACCUAGGCGACGAUCCCUAGCUGGUCUGAGAGGAUGACCAGCGCAAAUGGAACUGAGACACGGUCCAGACUCAUACGGUAAGCAGCAGUGGGGAUUAUUGCACAAUGGGGGCAGGCCUGAGGCAGCCAGGCGGCGUGUAUGAAGAAGGCCUUCGGGUUGUAAAGUACUUUCAGCGGGGAGGCGUUACCCGCAUAAGAAGCAACGGCUAACUCCGUGCCAGCAGCCUCGGGAAUUC
RNAcentral lists this ribosomal RNA (406 nucleotides) under uncultured bacterium. Its description in RNAcentral is "partial 16S ribosomal RNA". It matches the Rfam family "Bacterial small subunit ribosomal RNA", at positions 30 to 526 of the family's 1533-position model. The record is from RNAcentral.